Molecule: long non-coding RNA, 739 nt
Organism: Leopardus geoffroyi (Geoffroy's cat)
Lineage: Eukaryota; Metazoa; Chordata; Mammalia; Carnivora; Felidae
Exons: 3
Source: RefSeq, a predicted model, not a curated record
UGCCUGCAAGGCAGCCAGGGGCUGGGAGAGUCAAUGUGACCUGCCCCCUCCUGCCUUUAUGGCUGGCUGGAGUCGGGGUCUCUGAGGUGGGACUCCAGGCCUCUCUCCUCCAGUGCAUGCCCACCCCCUUCCCUGGCAGAGCUAAUGGUGCUCCCAAUAAAACAGCAGCUGCCCUUUCUCUCUGUGGGACCCACUCUCUCCUAGCUCUACGGUCAGGGAGUCAAUGUCCAAAGAGGGAGACCGUUUGCCUCCUGCACUGGAGUCUCAACAUUGGUUGCUACUUAAUAACCAUCAGCUGCUUGGCAUGUGCUUGGCCCUCUCCUAUCCUCGCAACACCUCCUGGGGGGGGGAAGACUCACAACCUCUUUUGCUUUUGGAGCAGUACAGCCUACAAAAGACCCAAAGCCAGGGUAAGGACUACCCAGACCAUCGUCUUUACUGUGGAUGCAAGGCUGAAGCCACUGCCUCCCUUGCUUUAGGCGUCUCCUGUCCUGAUGAACCCCAGAAUCACAACACGCUGCUCUGGAAAUUCAGAAGCCAGAGCUCUAAUCUAGUUCUACCACUUUCUGUGUGACUUUUGGCAGGUCCUUUGGCCUUUAUUUAAGACUGUGUCUGCUUCCCUCUCCCCUGAGACGAAUGAGGGAGUUGGACCCCCUUGAUGUUAACUUACAAAAAGAAAGAGGAAAAAGCCAAUGCCGGGGUGCCUGGGUGGCUUAGUCAGUUAAGCGUCAGACUCUGG